GUGCCAGCAGCCGCGGUAAUACGUAGGGUGCGAGCGUUGUCCGGAAUUACUGGGCGUAAAGAGCUUGUAGGCGGUCUGUCACGUCGAUUGUGAAAACUUGCAGCUCAACUGCAAGCUUGCAGUCGAUACGGGCAGACUAGAGUACUUCAGGGGAGACUGGAAUUCCUGGUGUAGCGGUGAAAUGCGCAGAUAUCAGGAGGAACACCGGUGGCGAAGGCGGGUCUCUGGGAAGUAACUGACGCUGAGAAGCGAAAGCGUGGGUAGCGAACAGGAUUAGAUACCCUGGUAGUCC
This 292-nucleotide ribosomal RNA is filed under the name uncultured bacterium. RNAcentral describes it as "partial 16S ribosomal RNA". It matches the Rfam family "Bacterial small subunit ribosomal RNA", at positions 505 to 796 of the family's 1533-position model. The record is from RNAcentral.